CCCAACUUGUUUAAAAUUAAUAUAACUUGUGUACACUUGCCUGAUUGCAAUUUAUUUUCCAAAAUAGAUUUUACUGCUCAAGACAUAGAAUGACUAACAACAACCACAAUUUGUAUGUUAUCAGUAUGCAAUCAUCUCAGUGAUCUGUUAUGAAACAUACCAUGUAAUAGAUACUGGACCACCACACCGUCACCACACAGCUAGAUUUGAUCUGUGAGACUCUAGAAAACUGAACUUGGAUCAGUGGAUAAAGAUACGGGGGAAACACUCUCGCUACCCUGAGUUACCAAGUAAUACAUUAUCUGAAUUAUCAGGAGGAUAUGUUUGUAAAUUUCAUAUGGCUGAAGAACUUGAGUUUUGAAGGGAGGAGGAAUAAAGCAUGAAUUCAGUGACAACCAGAUGCUAAGCAUAUAACAUUUGCAUACUUUGGGUAAAACCUCAUGAUAAUCCUAUGGA
This 456-nucleotide long non-coding RNA is filed under the name Rhinopithecus bieti (black snub-nosed monkey). Its description in RNAcentral is "lncRNA (ENSRBIG00000045187.1)". Lineage: Eukaryota; Metazoa; Chordata; Mammalia; Primates; Cercopithecidae. The record is from RNAcentral.